Molecule: ribosomal RNA, 253 nt
Filed under: uncultured bacterium
Lineage: Bacteria
Also listed under: 1 other name
Description: partial 16S ribosomal RNA
Rfam family: Bacterial small subunit ribosomal RNA
Source: RNAcentral
UACGUAGGGGGCAAGCGUUGUCCGGAAUCAUUGGGCGUAAAGGGCGCGUAGGCGGAUACUUAAGUCUGGUGUGAAAACCUAGGGCUCAACCCUGGGACUGCAUCGGAAACUGGGUAUCUUGAGGACAGGAGAGGAAAGUGGAAUUCCACGUGUAGCGGUGAAAUGCGUAGAUAUGUGGAGGAACACCAGUGGCGAAGGCGACUUUCUGGACUGUAACUGACGCUGAGGCGCGAAAGCGUGGGGAGCAAACAGG